Molecule: ribosomal RNA, 393 nt
Filed under: uncultured bacterium
Lineage: Bacteria
Description: partial 16S ribosomal RNA
Rfam family: Bacterial small subunit ribosomal RNA
Source: RNAcentral
AUACGGAGGAUGCGAGCGUUAUCCGGAUUUAUUGGGUUUAAAGGGAGCGUAGGUGGGAUAUUAAGUCAGCUGUGAAAGUUUGGGGCUCAACCUUAAAAUUGCAGUUGAUACUGGUUUCCUUGAGUACGGUACAGGUGGGCGGAAUUCGUGGUGUAGCGGUGAAAUGCUUAGAUAUCACGAAGAACUCCGAUCGCGAAGGCAGCUCACCGGGCCGGAACUGACACUGAUGCUCGAAAGUGCGGGUAUCAAACAGGAUUAGAUACCCUGGUAGUCCGCACAGUAAACGAUGAAUACUCGCUGUUUGCGAUACACGGUAAGCGGCCAAGCGAAAGCGUUAAGUAUUCCACCUGGGGAGUACGCCGGCAACGGUGAAACUCAAAUGAACUGACGGGG